RNAcentral lists this ribosomal RNA (479 nucleotides) under uncultured bacterium. Its description in RNAcentral is "bacterial SSU rRNA". It matches the Rfam family "Bacterial small subunit ribosomal RNA", at positions 330 to 801 of the family's 1533-position model. The record is from RNAcentral.
ACCGUACUCCUACGGGAGGCAGCAGUGGGGAAUUUUGGACAAUGGGGGCAACCCUGAUCCAGCAAUGCCGCGUGAGUGAAGAAGGCCUUCGGGUCGUAAAGCUCUUUUGUCAGGGAAGAAACGGUAGUAGCUAAUAUCUAUUACUAAUGACGGUACCUGAAGAAUAAGCACCGGCUAACUACGUGCCAGCAGCCGCGGUAAUACGUAGGGUGCAAGCGUUAAUCGGAAUUACUGGGCGUAAAGCGUGCGCAGGCGGUUGUGUAAGUCAGAUGUGAAAUCCCCGGGCUCAACCCGGGAAUUGAAUUUGAGAUUGCACGGCUAGAGUGUGUGAGAGGGGGGUAGAAUUCCACGUGUAGCAGUGAAAUGCGUAGAUAUGUGGAGGAAUACCGAUGGCGAAGGCAGCCCCCUGGGAUAACACUGACGCUCAUGCACGAGAGCGUGGGGAGCAAACAGGAUUAGAUACCCUAGUAGUCCUUGAC